RNAcentral lists this ribosomal RNA (164 nucleotides) under uncultured bacterium. Its description in RNAcentral is "partial 16S rRNA". It matches the Rfam family "Bacterial small subunit ribosomal RNA", at positions 355 to 511 of the family's 1533-position model. The record is from RNAcentral.
UAGGGAAUCUUCCACAAUGGACGAAAGUCUGAUGGAGCAACGCCGCGUGAGUGAAGAAGGGUUUCGGCUCGUAAAACUCUGUUGUUAAAGAAGAACAUAUCUGAGAGUAACUGUUCAGGUAUUGACGGUAUUUAACCAGAAAGCCACAGCUAACUACGUGCCAG